GACGAACGCUGGCGGCGUGCCUAAUACAUGCAAGUCGAACGCACUCUCGUUUAGAUUGACGGAGUUUGCUCCUGAUUGAUAAACAUUUGAGUGAGUGGCGGACGGGUGAGUAACACGUGGGUAACCUGCCCUAAAGUGGGGGAUAACAUUUGGAAACAGAUGCUAAUACCGCAUAAAACCUAACACCGCAUGGUGUAGGGUUGAAAGAUGGUUUCGGCUAUCACUUUAGGAUGGACCCGCGGUGCAUUAGUUAGUUGGUGAGGUAAAGGCUCACCAAGACCGUGAUGCAUAGCCGACCUGAGAGGGUAAUCGGCCACACUGGGACUGAGACACGGCCCAGACUCCUACGGGAGGCAGCAGCAGGGAAUCUUCCACAAUGGACGAAAGUCUGAUGGAGCAACGCCGCGUGAGUGAAGAAGGUUUUCGGAUCGUAAAACUCUGUUGUUGGAGAAGAAUGUAUCUGAUAGUAACUGAUCAGGUAGUGACGGUAUCCAACCAGAAAGCCACGGCUAACUACGUG
This 520-nucleotide ribosomal RNA is filed under the name uncultured bacterium. RNAcentral describes it as "partial 16S ribosomal RNA". It matches the Rfam family "Bacterial small subunit ribosomal RNA", at positions 28 to 507 of the family's 1533-position model. The record is from RNAcentral.